This 10072-nucleotide long non-coding RNA is filed under the name Nicotiana tabacum (common tobacco). RNAcentral's name for it is "long non-coding RNA (NTAB_LNC005276)". The record is from RNAcentral. Lineage: Eukaryota; Viridiplantae; Streptophyta; Magnoliopsida; Solanales; Solanaceae.
UUUCUUAAUUUAAAGCCCAAUACCCUUUAAACCCACUAAAAAGCCUAAUUUCCCUAACUUAGAGGUGACACUCUUAAAAAGGAAGCUAACGCCUAAGUUUUAGAAUCAACCAUUUUUUGGAAAAGAGACCCAUCAGCCAUGAAACAAAGAAGAUCAUCUUCUUCACUAAAAGAGAACCUAACACAAAAGACCUAAGCUUGAGCGCAGAUACCAAAGGCGACCCAACCCCUGCUGGUCUUCUUCUUCGUCCUCACGUCCACCAACGACCACUCUCACGCCAGCCUGAACCAAUCAGCCAUCCCCUUUAAUUUCCACCCCUUUCUUCAAACACCCAGCAACACCCUCUUCAACACCAACAGCCAGUGUCCAUGCUGGCGCAACCCCUGAACACCAAAAUCGACCACCCAUACCUCUCUUGAGCCUGCUAGACUCCUCACUCUCCAACAUCAGCUAUUUGUCGGAAUAUUAUUUUUUUGGAACUCUGCUUUUGUUUUGCAUAACAAGGAAUGAAUAUCCCUCUUCCAAGGUCCGUUUUUCUGUUUCGCUUACCUUUUCAAUCCGCAGUCUAAUUAGUUCUUGUGAAUAUUUGGUUAGUUGCUAUGUUCAUCUACCUUAAAUUAACGUGCAUAUGUCCUAUUGAAUUGCUUCUUCGUGCUUGAUUUUAAAAUCGAAGUUACCAGUAUGCAAUUUGAAUAAUAAAUUAAGGCAACAUGAUUUGGACAUUUGAAAUAUGUGCUAUUUAAUGGGUUAUGAGAUUUGGUUUAAAAGUCUACUUGGAAUGUUUAACAGUUUGUUAUGCUAUUGUAGCUUAGAAAGCUCUUCAUGCUCUCAUUUUGUUCGAUUUAAACAUGAACGCUCGUAGUUUGCUUUAGGCACGUAAUUAAAUCAUCACAACUACGGAUAUGGUUCCUAUGGCGUGGUUGUGACACUUAAUUUUAGAUUAUCUUUUAAAUAGGGGCAUCCGUAGUUAAAUGCUUUUCCCUUUAAUAAAAUUGAGGUGUGCCAUCCAAUCGUCUAGUCUAUGACCCUCACAUCGAUAUCUUAACUAGUGUAGAAAAUGCCUUGAAUUUUCUGUAACGACCCGACCGGUCAUUUUGUUUUCUAGCGCGUUGUUUAGUAGUUUGGGGCCAUGAGCAGCUUCACUUCAGGUAUUAUGACUUGUACGCAUGGUCGGAAUUGAAUUCCGGGGAAUUCGGAGUUGAUUUGGAAAGGGAAUUCUCAUUUCGGAAGCUUUAAGUUUCAGAAUUGACUAAGAUUGGAUUUUAGAGUAAACGACCUCGGAAUCGGGAUCUGAAGGUUCCAGUAGGUUCGUAUAAUGAUUUCGGACUUGGGCGUAUGCCCGGAUUGGGUUUUAGAUGAUCCGGAGGAAUUUUGGCGCCUAUUGUAGAAGUUAGCAUUUUGGAAGAAAUUUCAUAAGUUUGGGUUGAAGUGCAUUUCAGUGUUAUCGAUGUCCGUUUGGGCUGAUUAUGAUUUUCAUCACUUCCACUAUAUAUAUAUAUAUUUCAUUAAACCUAUAUUGAAAAUGUUAGAAAGAUAAAAUUUUAAAGGAUUUUACUAAAGUUGGGAGUUUAACGAAAUGAUUUGAAUGGUAUACUGAUUUGGGAACAUGUUAUAAUUACUGUGGUGCUAUGACGUAGUUGACGUGUUUCUUGCUGCUCAAUCUUUAUUUACUAUUAUUACUUACUGGGUUGGAGUACUCACAUUACUCCCUGCACCUCGUGUGCAGAUUCAGGUAUUUCGAAACCCGGUAGCGGGUGUUGAUUGCUCAGAGGCAGAGUCGUCGGAGUUAGCAAGGUGGUUGCACGACAUUCGUAGCACUGCUUUCCUUCAUCUCAUUUUCAUUACUAUAUUUAGUAUAUUUUAAGACUCUGAUUGUAUUCGGACCUUCGUAGAUGCUCGUGACUAGUGACACCCCGAUGUCAGGCUUGUAUAAUUAUUCCGCACUUUUCUUUAAAAUUUCAUUAUGAGAACUAUUUUUUUAUAAAUGUUAUAAAAACAACCUUUAUUGGAAAAAUGUUUGAUUCGGGAGUUCCAUUGGCUGGCCUAGUUUCACGAUAGGCGCCAUCACGACCGGGUCGGUUUUGGGUCGUGACAAGUUGGUAUCAGAGCACAAGGUUCCCUUAGGUCUCAUGAGUCAUGAGCAAGUCUAGUAGAGUCUUGCGGAUCGGUACGGAGACGUCUGUACUUAUCUUCGGGAGGCUACAGAGCUAUUAGGAGUACUUCCCUUCUUGAUUUCCUUAUCGUUCGACAUGAUUCCUUGAGGCUUAUGCCCUUGUUUCCUUCUUACUCAAUCUUACGCGACGCGAACCGCUUGUUAUAAACCGAGAAUUGAAGAAUUGUAAUGGUACUAUAGAUGUGGUGCAAGAUGUUUCUCCCGGUAUAGUUAGGUGAGCUAUUGUCGUCGCCUUGCGGAAGAAUUUUUUCUAUCGUUUUGGCUCUAUAGUUGUGCUUCUAAGAGCUUGGAGGCUAUGCACAGGUUUCUAUGAUGCUCGCGAUUGGUUAUCGCACAGUAUUGACUUGAUGGUAGGAGACUUGCCUAUGUGUUGGGGCAGUGAAUGAGUUGAAAGGAAAUCUUCUCAGUGCACAAUUCAGAGAUAUGAUAUUUCGCUUCCGGCGGAGGAAAAACAAUUAGCCUGUGAAUGUCCAGAUUUGGGGUGAUGGAGUAACGAGACUUGGUAAUUUCGAGCGUGGUGGAAUUUUUAUCUGCGAUGUAGUGUCAUCGUCCUCGAUUGUAUGUGUUAAGUUCGCUGGUGUUAUGGUCUUCUGCAAUUCGCCCUUGGGGUAGGAUAUUGUGAAAUAAUAUUGGAGAAAUGACUGUUGGAUAUCGCGGGGUGCGGUGGUUCAGGAUUGAAUCGGUAUUUCUAAUGUCGACGGCUCGAGAAAGAUGAUCUCCGGAAAGGUUUAAAGUUAGCAGCAAUUUGUGGGUUCAAGGGCUACGAAGAUAGAUUUUAUUAAGGCAACAACUGAGCAGCAAAGGAUGAGGAAGUACAUGUGGGGAGUGUUAGGAGGUGGUUAAAAUUUCUAGAAGGCCAGGUAUAAGAAGCAAAGGUCGAGUGGUCGAUUAGAGGGGUGAGUUCCGCCAAAGUGGGAGAGUGGCAGAGUUGCAUAUGAGUUUUGUGUUAGGAUGACUACACACCUUAAGGAGAGUUUGGAACGACUUGGGAAUUUUAGUGAUUGAUGAUUGGGGUCUACGGAUCUAAUUUGAAGUAUAGGCUAUUAUGCAGCAAGAGAUUUGAUAUAACAGAAAGGAGCUACUUGAAAUGAAGAAGGAUACAACCUAACUUUGAAUUGGAAGGAUGUUACCGCACAUUUAAUUCAUAUCCACGAGGGGUUAAUGGACUUGUGCAGCUAGAGAGUGAACUCGAACUCAGGAUGGAUUAUUGAUGUCGUAGUGAUUGUACCCUGUGCAGUAGCGUUGGAAGAUGUCGGCACAUAAAUUCCACGGGAGGGUUAUCUCUAGUGAGCAAAUCGGCGGUCGCAUGGUUGGCGAAGCUUUUGCGGAGAAUUCUAUUGGAUAUAUAGAAAAGAGACCAGUCGUGCAAAUGUGGUUGAUGAUUCAGAGUAUAAAAAUGGGGUUUUACAAAAAGAUUCCGAGAAUUAUAGCGGUUGAUUGCGCAAGGUUAUGUCAAUAAGAGAUAAAGAAUCCUGAUAAAUUUCAGAGUUGUGUAAUAGUGGCUUCAAUCUAAGUGGUAAUUUGAGCAAAGGAAUUGUUAAAGGUAUGUUAUGGUUGGCCUUAUUGGCUCAUGUUCAGACUUGGAGAAGGAUUCAGGAUUUAUGCCUUGUAUAGAUGCAGGUUUCAAGGGAAGAGAUUUUGCCGGGUGCUUUGUCGAGAGGAUAUUCAUGUUCUAGAGGAUUCAUGGAGUUGAUUAUAUUUGGGGCCAAGUCAGAGCGGGUGGCUCUCAACAACAGUCCUAGUGGAUUCAAAGGGGCAAAGUGUGGUGCCUAAUGAUUGUGAGCCUAUAGGUACGUACAUUUAAGAAUCAAGCUUUGCAGCAGCUUAUGAGAAGGGGCACAGAAUGUUCUAUGAUGUUUUGACUUGAAGUGUAAUAUUUAGGAGGUAUGAAAUUGUUCGUGGGAUUUGAGACAGCAUGGUCUCAUGAUUCAAGGUCACUCGGGAUGAGUGCGGAUGGAGUGUGUUAUGUGUUGAAUGGAGUUAUUUAUUUCUAAGGAAAUGAAGAAUUAAUUUGGAACAAGAUAAAUUGGUUAGCCAUAGUUGAAUUGGCAUAUUGUGGUAGUGAUCAGUUCCUUCAACGUGAUCAAGUUAUGCAAGUGAUUUGUGACAGCACAUGUGAGGCUUGUUGACCGCCGUAAUUAAUGUUAUCUAGAAGUAUUCCACUAUUAUGGCCUGUCAUGUGUAGACGGAUCCCGGAAGGGCUAUGGUGGCUUAGACCACUACUUAGAGAUUUACAUAUUCUACGGUUUUGAGAAUUCACAUGUGUGUUGCUAUGGUUCUCCUGAAGUGAGUUAAGUGAAAAGUUUUAUAUGAUGAAGUGUUAAUUUAUUAGUGGUUAUAGAGUUAUGAUGAAAUUGUGUUCUAUCGUAUAUUGGCAUGUUGGGUGCAGUGAGUGGUAUGGAAUUUGAAGUGAGGAUCAAGGUAGAAGUUCGGUGUUGACAAGGAUGUCACGAGCUCAGAUGAGUAGUAAAGGAGUUUCAAUGUUUAAAGUAAGUGGGUAUCGUCUUCAGCGUCACCUGAGAUCGGUGUUUUGUGAAAAAGGCCUUGCAUCCUGGUUAUGGAUUCUUGAACGCUUUCUCAGUGUUAGUGCGUCUGGUGGUAUAGAUAUGCAUACUUGUUGUCUGUUACGGAAGGUCAUGGGAGCGUGCCCCACAAGAAGACUGUAUAAGUAUGGCAUGUAGUCACUUGAUUGAUUGAAGAUUUAAAUCAAGUAUGAAGACGGUGGUGAUAUCACUAAUUUGAGAAUUUAUGCUUAGAGGGCACUCGACUUAUUGGGUUGUGGACAGUGGAGGAUUGCCCCGAUUAUGAUAGUAGUUCUCGUGUGUUAUGAGAAAAAGGGAGUUAUUAUGGACCUUCGAAAGGUUAUUAGCCUAGUUCAGUGUGAUCAGAAUCAGCUUGCGGUGUGUGGAUGGAUCUAAAUGUGAAUAUGGGCUCUAUAUCAGGCCAAAUGUGUUCAUUUUAGCAAUGCGUUCCUUUGGACAAGUAGUCUGGGUACAAUUUCGUCGUCAACUAUUUCAUAUAAAUCAUAUAUUGUGUCGUAUGAGUUGUGAGACAGCUUGGUGAAUUUCUUAUGUGUUGAGGUUCCGCAUAGAGAUGAUGUUAUAUGAGCAGUAUGACUCUGUAGAUUCAGAUCGUAUAUCGCACCUCAGUUGUGCUUGAGUUUUGUAGCCUAUGUCACUAUAUGUCUCCCCAGGGAUGUGCUUGUGACCGAUAUUCGGUAUUUUGUUGUAAUGAGCAAUUUAGCUCGAUGUAUAUCUCCUUAUGUGAAUUCUAUGUGUGGAUCGGGUGGCACGCCACCAUGGGUAUGUUAUUUGGAUCGAGUUGCACGCUGCAAUAAUGUGAUGUUGAGUACAGUUUUCUAUAUGCUAUUUUUGUAUGCCUUGUUUCCUAUUUUCUAAGGAAAGUCCAUAUUAGUGCAUGAGUUGAGUAGUUCCUUCCAGAGUUCGUUUUCCUUUUCACGUUUGAGUUCAUAGCCUAUUGUCACAUUGUGGCAUCAUAUGAGACUUUUGAUCAUGUCCAGGGUGGCUUAUUGCCUGAGCGGUUCGUAAUGGGUGAGACGAGAUCAUUGGAUUUAGGAUCAGUGCAAUAUGAUUAUAUGAAGUAUAUUAAGGAGCUAAGACCAUUAUUUGGUUCAAAAUGAUGUGAUGGUUCUUGUCAGGAGUAUAGACCUAAUGAUUUGUUGAUUCGGUAGUUAGGUAUGAAUUUCUACACACCUCUUCCGUCUUGGCGGUAUUGUAAGAGUUAGAGCAAGACCUAUGUAGGUCACGAGGUGCAAUGGGAGCAUCAGAUUCGUGGAAUUUUGACUAAUUUGAUCAGAGAAUAUUAUUGUGGUCCUGUGAGUAAAGUGGUGCAAGGUGUGAAUUCAUCUAAGGUAUGCAGUCAUGUUUUGGUGCUGCGGGUAGUUAUUGAUAUGGUGAGCGUAUAUUGGAACAGGCCUAGCAGAGAAUUUCGGAUGUAGGAAUUGGGCUCUAAGGCUUAUUUGCUUAAGUGAAAAAGGAUAUCUUCAGAUUGAUCGAGCUAGGAUGCCCAGCUGAGUUGUGGUAGCACGGGUAGGUGCUCGAGGUGUUAAACAGUGAUUUUGGACAACCCCAACACAAUUCUUAGCACGUUCGAGCACAAACGUAUGUUUAAAUGGGAGAGAAUGUAAUGACCCGGCCGGUUGUUUUGAGCUCUAGCACGUCAUUCAGCAGUUUGGGCCAUGAGCAGCUUCACUUCAGGUAUUAUGACGUGUACGCAUGGCCAGAAUUGAAUUUCGAGGAAUUCGUAGUUGAUUUGGAAAGGAAAUUCUCAUUUUGGAAGCUUUAAGUUGAAAGAAUUGACUAAGAUUGGAUUUCAGAGUAAACGACCUCGAAAUCAGGAUCUGAAGGUUCCAGUAGGUUCGUAUGAUGAUUUUGGACUUGGGCGUAUGCCCUGAUUGGGUUUUGGAUGACCCGGGGCGUUUUGCCGCUUAUUGUGGAAGUUAGCAUUUUGGAAGAAAUUUCAUAAGUUUGGAUUGAAGUGCAUUUCAGUGUUAUCGAUGUCCGUUUGGGAUCCGAGUCUGGGCGUAGCUUUGUAUGGUGAUUCUGGAGUUGGAAGUGUGAUCGGAAGUGAAUUUGGAGGUCCGUAGGUCAUUUUGAAGUCAUUUGGCAGAAGAUAGAAAUUUAAAGGUUUUUGAGAAGUUUGAUUGAGAGUUUGACUUUUCAAUAUUGGGUUCGGAUUCCAAUUCCGAAAGUUGGAGCAGGUAUGUAAUGCCGAAUAUGACUUGUGUGCAAAAUUUAAGGUCAAUCGGACGUGAUUUGACGUAUUUUACCAUCGAAUGUAAAAGUUUGAAAUUUCAAAGUUCAUAAAGUUUGGAUUGAAGUAUGAUUCAUGAUUUUGACAUUGUUUGAUGUGAUUUGAGGCCUCGAGCGAUUUUGUACCAUGUAUUGGGACAUGUUGGUAUAAUUGGUUAAGGUUCCAAGGGCCUCGGGUGGAUUUCGGAAGGUUAACGGAUUGAAUUUCGGACCAAAGAGUUGCUGAAAUUUUCUGCAGAAAGCUGUUUUGACAGCAACUAGUGCAAUCGCGGAGCUAGAUUUGGAAGCCUAUAUUUCAAAAUUUAUAAGGAAUCAGAAAUUUUUUAAAACAUAAAAGUUGUUGUCCUUGCAUUCUAGUUUCUAGAAAGAUUAACCAUUCAUGAUUUGGACAUUUUAUCAGAAAGUUAUAAUCGAUUGAAGAUGGCUGGUGGAGCAGUUUCGACAGAAUUUUCUGAUGCAUGGAGCAGACUUUAGAAGCUCAUAUCUCGAAAUAUAUAAAGAUUUAUGUGGUGUGCAACCUAUCAAAUGAAAGAUCUUCGAGUCUAGUUUCUAAAUCUUCAAACCGUUUAUCAUUUAGAUAUUUCCAAAAGGUAUUAUGGGCGUUUUAACAAAAAGUGUACAGCAGUAGAAAAUUGUAAUNNNNNNNNNNNNNNNNNNNNNNNNNNNNNNNNNNNNNNNNNNNNNNNNNNNNNNNNNNNNNNNNNNNNNNNNNNNNNNNNNNNNNNNNNNNNNNNNNNNNNNNNNNNNNNNNNNNNNNNNNNNNNNNNNNNNNNNNNNNNNNNNNNNNNNNNNNNNNNNNNNNNNNNNNNNNNNNNNNNNNNNNNNNNNNNNNNNNNNNNNNNNNNNNNNNNNNNNNNNNNNNNNNNNNNNNNNNNCCGUUUCUUUCAUUUCUUUCAUUUGGCUUGGCCGAUUUUGGAGCUUUUUAAGAGGAUUUGAAGAGGGAUUCAAGAGAUAACACCUGGAGGUAAGAUUUUUGAACUCAAUACUCGAUUCUUGUGUAAAUUCUACCUAAUUAAUCAUGGAAAUUAAGCCUAAAAUUGAGGAAUUAAGGCUUGAAAUUGGAGAGUGUAAGUUGGGGAUUUGAAGGGGUAAUUGAGGUCCGAUUUUGAGGUUCUUGGUAUGUAUAGACUCGUGAGAGGAUAAGGAACCUAUUGAUGUAAAAUUUAUCGGAAUCCGAGAUGUGGGCCCGAGGGCCGGGUUUGAGCAAUUUUGAGAUUUUUGAUGUAAAUUAGAUAUUUUCGAGUGAGCUUUGUUCCUUUAGCAUAUUUUAAAGGUUAUGUACUGAUUAUGGCUAGAUUUGGAGCAUCCGGAGGUCGAUUCGUGAGGGUAAAGGCAUCGCGGGCUAGAGUUUGGACCGGAUUGAGGUAAGUAAUGAUUGUAAAUAUUGUCCUGAGGGUUUGAAACCCUGGAUUUCACCUCGUUAUGCUAUUUUGAGGUGAUGCACACGCUAGAUGACGAGCGUGGAGUCGUGCACUGUUGAGGAUUGUAACUUGGUCCGUCCCGUACGACUGUCAAGUCGCGUAUUUGAUUUGAAAUCUUAUGAUAUUCCAUAUUUUAGAGAUUGAUAUUAUAUUUUGGGUUGUAUGCCAUGUUUGGGGCCUUGUGCCGACCUGUUGAGACCCUUAGGGGCAUUUUCACUACUUUUCCUUACUCUAUUUGUUUUGAGAGCAUAUCCCCAGUCAUGUUUUACCUAUUAUCGUUUAAACCUGGUUUUUUCACUUUACUUCUUAAAAUGUGAAAACUGUUUGGGCUGAGUUUCCUGAUUUACUGAUUGCCCGAGCAAUUGUGAGGUUGAUGACUGAGAUAGACCGAGGGUCUGAUUGUGAGAUUGAUGGCUAAGAUUGACCAAGAGUCUGAUUGUGAGGUUAAUGACUGAGAGAGGCCGAGGGCCUGGUUAUGAGGAUUAUAUAGUUAUGGAUCAGGCUGCACGCCGCAACAAUAUAUAUAUAUAUAUAUAUAUAUGUUAUAUGGAUCAGGCUGCACGCCGUAGCGAUAUGUUGGAUUGUGCUGCACGCCGCAGCGAUAUGUUGGAUCGGGCUGCACGCCGUAGCGAUAUAGCGCUUGGGCUGUAGGAGCCCUUCCGGAGUCUGCACACCCCCGGUGAGCGCCGUCGACAAGAUAUAUGGAUCGGGCUGCACGCCGCAAUGAUAUAUGCAUCGAGCUGUGCGCCGCAGCAGUUACUAUAUGGUACCUAUUUUGUGUGAGUACUGAGUAUGAGCGUUGACCGGUAAGAGUGAGUCAUGAGUGACUGAGAGGCUUGCCCGAGGGGCUAUAGAUAUACAUGUACAUGAGUGAUGCUUUGCCUGAGGAACCUGUUAAUGAACUUACUGUUUUUCAAUCCUCCUUAAAGUGAGUUUUAUCGAAUAUGUUGAUUUAAUUACUGCUUUCACUCAUCUUUAGACCGAGCCUCUAUUGAAAAUGUUUAGCAAACGCUUUAAACAACUUUCAUUCAAACUGAAGUUUUUAAGUUAUGAAAUGGGUAUAAAUAUUUGUUUUGCCGAGCGGCUGUAUACGAACUAUGUUUUGCCCGAGGGGCCGAUUAUGAUUUUUAUCACUUCUACUAUAAAUAUAUAUAUUUCAUUAAACCUAUAUUGAAAAGGUUAGAAAUAUAAAAUUUUAAAGGAUUUUACUGAAGUUGGGAGUUUAACGAAAUGAUUUGAAUGGUAUCCUGAUUUGGGAACUUGUUGUAAUCACUGUGGUGCUAUGACAUGGUUGACGUAUUUCUUACUGCUCAGUCUUUAUUUACUCUUAUUACUUACUGGGUUGGAGUACUCACAUUACUCCCUGCACCUUGUGUGCAGAUUCAGGUAUUUCAGAACCCGGUAGCGGGUGUUGAUUGCUCAGAGGCGGAGUCGUUGGAGUUAGCAAGGUGGCUGCACGACAUUCAUAGCACUGCUUUUCUUCCUCUCAUUUUCAUUACUGUAUGUAGUAUAUUUUUAGACUCUGGUUGUAUUCGGACCUUGGUAGAUGCUCAUGACUAAUGACACCCCGAUGUCGGGCUUGUGUAAUUAUUCUGCACUUUUCUUUAAAAUUUUAUUAUGAGAACUAUUGUUUAUAAAUGGUAUAAAAACAACUUUUAUUGGAAAAAUGGUUGAUUCGGGAGUUUCGUUGGCUGGCCUAGUUUCAC